UACGUAGGGGCUAGCGUUAUCCGGAAUUACUGGGCGUAAAGGGAGCGUAGGCGGCCGAUUAAGUUGGAUGUGAAAUCCCCGGGCUUAACUUGGGUGGUGCAUCCAAUACUGGUUGGCUAGAGUACAGGAGAGGAAAGCGGAAUUCCUGGUGUAGCGGUGAAAUGCAUAGAUAUCAGGAGGAACAUCGGUGGCGAAGGCGGCUUUCUGGACUGACACUGACGCUGAGGCUCGAAAGCGUGGGGAGCAAACAGGAUUAGAUACCCUGGUAGU
Molecule: ribosomal RNA, 270 nt
Filed under: uncultured prokaryote
Description: partial 16S ribosomal RNA
Rfam family: Bacterial small subunit ribosomal RNA
Source: RNAcentral